AUACGGAGGGUGCAAGCGUUAUUCGGAAUUACUGGGCGUAAAGCGCGUGCAGGCGGGCGAGCAAGUCUGAUGUGAAAGCCCCGGGCUUAACCUGGGAAGUGCAUUGGAAACUGGGAGACUUGAAUACGGGAGAGGGUAGUGGAAUUCCUAGUGUAGGAGUGAAAUCCGUAGAUAUUAGGAGGAACACCGGUGGCGAAGGCGGCUACCUGGACCGAUAUUGACGCUGAGACGCGAAAGCGUGGGGAGC
This 247-nucleotide ribosomal RNA is filed under the name uncultured bacterium. RNAcentral describes it as "partial 16S ribosomal RNA". It matches the Rfam family "Bacterial small subunit ribosomal RNA", at positions 523 to 769 of the family's 1533-position model. The record is from RNAcentral.